AGCUUUGGCGCGUCGAACGGUUUCCGGCCGCUGCCGGAAUGAAAAGGGAACGCCGUCAUAAAGCGGCGACUGCCCCCGCAACUGUAGGCGGCGAGCCUGCCACCGCGUUCUUGCUCGGCCACUGGGCUCGCCCGGGAAGGCCAUGCGGUGCCAGGCAGCGACCCGCAAGUCAGGAGACCUGCCGCUCGACGGGUAACAAA
This 200-nucleotide non-coding RNA is filed under the name Arboricoccus pini. The record is from RNAcentral. Lineage: Bacteria; Pseudomonadati; Pseudomonadota; Alphaproteobacteria; Geminicoccales; Geminicoccaceae. RNAcentral also lists the same sequence under 1 other name.